Molecule: ribosomal RNA, 414 nt
Filed under: uncultured microorganism
Description: bacterial SSU rRNA
Rfam family: Archaeal small subunit ribosomal RNA
Source: RNAcentral
GUGCACCAGGCGAGAAACUUCACACUGUGCGAAAGCACGAUGAGGGAAUCCCAAGUGCUUGCACGUAAGUGUAAGCUGUUUCUCUGUCUAAAACGCAGAGAGAGUAAGGGCUGGGUAAGACGGGUGCCAGCCGCCGCGGUAAUACCUGCAGCUCAAGUGGUGACCGUUAUUAUUGGGCCUAAAACGUCCGUAGCCGGUUUAAUAAAUGCCUGGGUAAAUUGUGUAGCUUAACUAUACGAAUUCCGGGUAGACUGUUAAACUUGAGACCGGGAGAAGUUAGAGGUACUCCUGGGGUAGAGGUGAAAUUCUGUAAUCCUAGGGGGACCACCAGUGGCGAAGGCGUCUAACUAGAACGGGUCUGACGGUGAGGGACGAAGGCCCUGGGGCGCAAACGGGAUUAGAUACCCCGGUAGU